RNAcentral lists this ribosomal RNA (419 nucleotides) under uncultured bacterium. RNAcentral describes it as "bacterial SSU rRNA". It matches the Rfam family "Bacterial small subunit ribosomal RNA", at positions 89 to 518 of the family's 1533-position model. The record is from RNAcentral.
UGUCUAGCGGCGAACGGGUGAGUAACACGUGGGCAACCUGCCCUCAGCUCUGGGAUAACUCCAAGAAAUUGGGGCUAAUACCGGAUAUGACCGCUGACCGCAGUGGUCUGGUGGUGGAAAGAUUUAUCGGCUGGGGAUGGGCCCGCGGCCUAUCAGGCUUGUUGGUGGGGUAGUGGCCUACCAAGGCGACGACGGGUAGCCGGCCUGAGAGGGUGACCGGCCACACUGGGACUGAGACACGGCCCAGACUCCUACGGGAGGCAGCAGGGGGGAAUAUUGCGCAAUGGGCGGAAGCCUGACGCAAGCGACGCCGCGUGGGGGAUGACGGCCUUCGGGUUGUAAACCUCUUUCAGCAGGGACGAAGCGAAAGUGACGGUACCUGCAGAAGAAGCACCGGCCAACUACGUGCCAGCCGCAGC